AUGGACUCCGCCGACGAGUUCCUUUUCCAUAAUUUCAUUUGCGACUCCGAUGAUUCGUCGUCCGAUGACGAGGAGGAGAUAUUGGCUGCCGUGUUUGUCCAUCACCACCUCAACAACCAGCGACCGUUGUUCCGUGGCUUAAUUUCAGGCCACCUUCCGGCGUUGAAUCGUAACCGAGAGAGCGGGCAUUUCCUUCUCUGGAAGGACUACUUUGAUACAACAAACUUGUUGUUCAAACAUCAUCAAUUCCACCGCCGGUUCCGUAUGAGUAGGCAUGUUUUCAACCGUAUUAGAGAGGGAGUGGUCGGCUAUGAUGACUACUUCGAGUGCAAAGAGGAUGCUAUCGGCAAGAUUGGUUUCUCCUCUUAUCAAAAAUGCACUACCGCCAUCCGAAUGCUUGCAUACGGAGUGCCCGGUGAUCUCAUUGACGAGUACGUCCGUAUGAGCGAGUCUACAUGCCUAGAGUCCCUGUAUAAGUUCUGCAAGGCUGUGAUUGCUGUGUUUGGCCCUGAGUACUUGAGAGAGCCGACAGCUGUAGAUACAGCCCGUUUGUUGGCGAUGAAUGCUAGCAGGGGCUUCCCGGGGAUGCUUGGCAGCAUAGACUGCAUGCACUGGGAGUGGAAGAACUUCCCUUCUGCUUGGCAGGGGCAGUAUAAGGGACAUGUCAGGGCUUGCACUAUCAUAUUAGAGGCCGUGGCAUCUCAAGAUCUCUGGAUCUGGCACUCUUUCUUUGGCGUGGCUGGAUCACACAAUGAUAUCAACGUGCUCCAGCGCUCGCCGGUGUUUGCUAGUCUUGCCAAAGGCAACAGCCCACCGGUGAACUUUACUGUCAACGACCACAACUAUGAAAAAGGGUACUAUUUGGGUGACGGUAUCUAUCCUCAAUGGACCACUAAUGUAAAGACAAUACCCGACCCUGUUGGAGAGAAAAGGAAAAGAUUUGCCCAAGAGCAAGAGAGUGCUAGAAAGGAUGUCGAGCGUGCCUUUGGUGUUUUGCAAUCUCGAUGGGGCAUCGUUCGGUAUCCUGCUAAUACUUGGAGCACGCAGAAACUAUGGGAGGUGAUGACUGCUUGUGUGAUCAUGCACAAUAUGAUCGUAGAAGACGAGCGUCCAGAACGUCUGUACGAUCAAGGCUUUCAGUUUCAGGGUGAGAAUGUUGUGCCUAAGCAUGGAGUAGCGGCAACAUUUGAGCAGUUCACUCAGUUUCAUGAAGACAUGCGUGAUUGGAAAACUCACGUGCAACUGUAA
This 1248-nucleotide ribosomal RNA is filed under the name Triticum aestivum (bread wheat). Its description in RNAcentral is "partial small subunit ribosomal RNA". Lineage: Eukaryota; Viridiplantae; Streptophyta; Magnoliopsida; Poales; Poaceae. The record is from RNAcentral.